Catharus ustulatus (Swainson's thrush) is the source of this 1320-nucleotide long non-coding RNA. RefSeq lists it as uncharacterized. The transcript has 4 exons. The record is from RefSeq and is a predicted model, not a curated record. NCBI's taxonomy places the organism in Eukaryota, Metazoa, Chordata, Aves, Passeriformes, Turdidae.
GGAGGGGGUAACUCAGCCUCUCCACCAUCCCAAGGCCCUCCUCUUAGCUGUGCUCAUUGGUCUCGGGGCUGAAAAAACUACUCUAGGACGUGGUUGGAUAAACGCAUGUUGUUCAGCAGAGGCCGUUAACCUUUAAAGCGCUGAUACGUUUUGCUUUUUUAACUCGAAUUGCUGUCUUUUUAAGAAGUCUCUGAAAUCGUCUCCCUUGACAGGGCAAGCGAAACGUGCCUUAAAUCUCCAUCUCGUGGAAGAUCUGCUUGGCUGGCAGCUGAUGUGUGUUGUUGUUGGCUUUUAAGGAACAUCUCCGUGUUGUGUUUCUUCUGUUGUUUAGCUUUGAUUUAUUAUUUUUUCCUUUUUCUCUUUGUUUUGUUUGAUUUGUUUUUUUUUUUUUUCGGUCUUUUGCAUUUGGUUUUUCAAAGAGCUUUGGCAAACACCAGAGCCAUCAAGGCCAGGGCAGGCCCUCUAGCCAUCUUCUCUUACUGAUGCUCUUGACCUGAGUUCCUUGGGUGCUCCUCUGCAAUCUACCAAGGUGCAAAAUUUGCAAAAUUUGCAAAAUUAUCUACUGCCUCCAAUCCCAGCCUUCUCCCAUCCUUGGGUUCUCCCUCCAGCUCUGUCUGGCUUCACUGCAGAUACAAGAAUGGCAAAACAAAUCUGAGUGCUGGAACCCUGUGGCUCUGCCUUCACAUGAGUGCUGGGGGUGACCCCUGUGCUGUGUACUGACCUCCUGCAGGCAGCUGCUGAAGAAUCACAGCCAUCCCCUGAGCUCACAGCUGCAGACUGGAGUAAUUUGCUGAUGCUGUACAAGGAAUUGUCUCUCCUGCAGACCUGGCUGGUGUGAUCAGAACUCACACAUGGUAUCAAAACAAAGAGCCCUUCAGGCAAGUGGUUCUGUUUAUUUUGGCUCAGGCUGGUGUUGCUCCUUUCUCCCUGUGUCUUCUCCCUGUGUGCUGUGCACAUCUUUUUUCCUCUGCCUUUGGAGCUGCUGGCUCCUUGCUCUCAGAUCUGGGGUGGCCUGGCUUGUGCAGCAUCAGCAGAUUUGAGGGAUGUGGAGAAAAGCACCCAACAUACUGUUAUAAGUGCAUAACAUAUUGUCGGCUUUUCACAACUAUUAGAAUAAAUGCUAUAUAUAUAAUAUUAAAAUAGCUUUUCUGUAUAAAUAUAAGCUUUUUCUUCUAAUAGCAAAAAUUAAACAUAAGUUUUUUAAAAAUAGUAUGCUUAAACUACCCAUUUAGCUAAAAUAACAGCCUGUAAACAUAUAAUAAAAACCCUGCAACUAACACAACAAUUACCAACAAUCACCAACUACAAAAAGCCAAAACC